ACUGACAAGGUACUGGCAGCAAAAAAGAUCCAGUCCUGAUGGUGGGGCACGCUGGUGCAAUGCACACUACUGCACGUGACCCUCAGAGCUUUGAUCAUUCAGUGCUGGUGGAGGCAGGUGCUGGCAAGGCUGCAGGCGAAGAGGCAGCGGGCAGCACUGGAGCUCUGUGCACGGCAGCUAUGGGCAGCAGUCAGGCUGCAGUCCUGGGUCCGCAUGUGGCGUGUCCGCUGGCGUUACUGUCGUUUGCUCAACGCUGUCCGCAUCAUCCAGGUCUAUUGGCGCUGGAGAAGUUGCCAUACCCGUGGCUUUUUCCAUGGCAGCUACGAGCUCACAACAAGCCAGCUGAGCCUUGAGCUUGACAUCUUCCUGGGAUCACAUAUUUGCCGAAUUACAGACUGCAUCCCCUUCCCAAUAAAGAAG
RNAcentral lists this long non-coding RNA (420 nucleotides) under Homo sapiens (human). RNAcentral describes it as "non-protein coding lnc-IQCF3-1:6". The record is from RNAcentral. Lineage: Eukaryota; Metazoa; Chordata; Mammalia; Primates; Hominidae.